UUCGUUGAACAUUUAUCGAUUUUUGUAAGAACUUACUUAAAUUUCAGUUUUCCUCCUGUUUGGUUGCUAAAAAAAAUUGGGAGAUAAAAAUAUUCAGAUUUAUGUUCUUAUUUUUCUUGUUUACAGUAAAUCACAAAAUACUUUUAACUGAGAAAAGUUACUAUAGUACUCUAAAUUGACUGCGGAAUUUUGGCUUUUAAGACAGGAAUGUUAGAAAUUCCUGAUUUGACGAACUCAAUUUAAUUUAUUUUGUUAUCUAACUUUUCCUGUAAUGAAAUUCAG
Molecule: unclassified non-coding RNA, 282 nt
Filed under: Hevea brasiliensis (rubber tree)
Lineage: Eukaryota; Viridiplantae; Streptophyta; Magnoliopsida; Malpighiales; Euphorbiaceae
Source: RNAcentral